AGCGAACGCUGGCGGCAGGCUUAACACAUGCAAGUCGAGCGGGCACUUUCGGGUGUCAGCGGCGGACGGGUGAGUAACGCGUGGGAACGUGCCCUCUGGUUCGGAAUAACUCAGGGAAACUUGAGCUAAUACCGGAUACGCCCUUUUGGGGAAAGGCUUGCUGCCGGAGGAUCGGCCCGCGUCUGAUUAGCUAGUUGGUGAGGUAACGGCUCACCAAGGCGACGAUCAGUAGCUGGUCUGAGAGGAUGAUCAGCCACACUGGGACUGAGACACGGCCCAGACUUCUACGGGAGGCAGCAGUGGGGAAUAUUGGACAAUGGGCGCAAGACUGAGCCAGCCAGGCCGCGUGAGUGAUGAAGGCCUUAGGGUUGUAAAGCUCUUUUAUCCGGGACGAUAAUGACGGUACCGGAGGAAUAAGCCCGGGCUAGCUUCGUG
RNAcentral lists this ribosomal RNA (435 nucleotides) under uncultured bacterium. RNAcentral describes it as "partial 16S ribosomal RNA". It matches the Rfam family "Bacterial small subunit ribosomal RNA", at positions 29 to 507 of the family's 1533-position model. The record is from RNAcentral.